UAUAGGGUUACGGUUUCUGCUGUUCAUGAAAUGUUACUUCCAAACUAAACUUCAUUCGUUUUUAUACUGAUCCCUUUAAAUCUAUAUUUUUAUUUUGCUCACCCUUAUGCACACUGAAAUAGAUUACCUGCCCAGCACAAGCCAUGAACUCAGACAGGACCRUCCCAGUCAUGCAGGUGACAUCAACAAUGACAUCCCAGCCAACAAUCAGGAAGUUGAACCAUGGAAAAAGGUCAGUGAUCCCCAAGAUGCAGCAUUGCUGUUUAAGAGGCAUCUCUUAAAGGAAGAGAAGAACCCCUCUAUCACAGCUUGCAUAAAUAUUACAGAGGACCAAACAUCCCUGAGUCGUGACAUAAUUUCUUUCUACAAAAGACCACAGACUGACUGGGCAAGACCUUUUCAAUGUUUUUUAAAAGGUGACACAGCUGUUGGCACUGGGGUCCAGAGACAUUUUUUCAGCUUGGCAAUGCUAAAAUUGCAACAUAGCUUUAACCUCAAUAGUGG
Austrofundulus limnaeus is the source of this 504-nucleotide long non-coding RNA. RefSeq lists it as uncharacterized. The record is from RefSeq and is a predicted model, not a curated record. NCBI's taxonomy places the organism in Eukaryota, Metazoa, Chordata, Actinopteri, Cyprinodontiformes, Rivulidae. The transcript is spliced from 3 exons.